UACGGAGGGUGCGAGCGUUGUCCGGAAUCACUGGGCGUAAAGGGCGCGUAGGCGGCGCGAGUAGUCAACGGUGAAAGCCCGGGGCUCAACCCCGGGUCGGCCGUCGAUACUCUCGUGCUUGAGCACUGUAGAGGCAGGUGGAAUUCCGGGUGUAGCGGUGAAAUGCUUAGAUAUGACAUAGAACACCAAUUGCGAAGGCAGCUCGCUACACAUAUAUUGACUCUGAGGCACGAAAGCGUGGGGAUCAAACAGG
This 253-nucleotide ribosomal RNA is filed under the name uncultured bacterium. RNAcentral describes it as "partial 16S ribosomal RNA". It matches the Rfam family "Bacterial small subunit ribosomal RNA", at positions 524 to 776 of the family's 1533-position model. The record is from RNAcentral.